GGGGGCGACCGGUUUCGACGGGGGUACUGAGGUCACUGUCGCAUGUCGAGCUCUCGGGAACUCGUAAAAGUCCGAGAAAACGCAACUGCCAAUCAAGAACUGGCACUCGCAGCCUAAUUUAGGCUGAG
This 128-nucleotide transfer-messenger RNA is filed under the name Nitrospira sp. RNAcentral's name for it is "partial transfer-messenger RNA". It matches the Rfam family "transfer-messenger RNA", at positions 1 to 137 of the family's 374-position model. From Rfam's summary of the family: Bacterial tmRNA, also known as 10Sa RNA or SsrA, is named for its dual tRNA and mRNA-like properties. Its role is to liberate the mRNA from a stalled ribosome. To accomplish this part of the tmRNA is used as a reading frame that ends in a translation stop signal. Lineage: Bacteria; Pseudomonadati; Nitrospirota; Nitrospiria; Nitrospirales; Nitrospiraceae. The record is from RNAcentral.